GGGGCGGGCUCUUCAGCCUCUGAAUCUCCCUGCGGCCCCCCAGCUCGGCCUGAGACGGAGGCAUCCGGUCCCUGAGGACUGAGAAGCGGCGUCACGCGUUGGGGAGGGGCCAGAGCCGCCCGAGGGGCGGGGGCGGCGGGCUGACCCCGGCCCUGAUGCUGUGUGACCCGGAGACAGCCAAUACCCUCUCUGGGCCUCAGCUGCCUCCUCUCUACGAUGAGGAGGGGCGCCCGAUGGCCUCCGCAGCCCCUUCCCGGGCCGUCUCGAUGACCCCCCGAUGGAGGGAGCCGGGCCCGGGGCGGGUCUGGAGCUGGAGCUGCAGCUGGUGCAGAGUCAGUGUCUCCAGAGGAACCCUCCUCCGUCUGGGGGACAAGGUCUGGCUGGUCGGGACUCCGGCCUCGCCUCAGCGGGGAGAAUCCAGGGGCAGGAGGGCAUGAGCGAGAACUGGAGCUUGGGCUCUUCCCACCAAUCUUUCUGCUGAACAUAUACCUGUGGAGGCCAAAGACAGAAGAAAAGCGUCAUAUGUGCAAAAAAUAUUAAUGAAACCACUAUUAGUGAUAGCAAACAACUGGCAACAAAGUUGGUACCCAUCAGCUCGGAAAUGACUGAACAAACUGGUUUAUUAACAUAAUAGGAUGUUAAUAAGAAAUGACAAACGUAUUCAGAGAAUCCUAGAAAGCUGUAUAUGAACUCCUACAGAAAGAAAAGUACCAAGAGAACGACAUAUAGAUUGAUCAAAACAUAACACCACAAGAACAUAUUGAACCCAACAAUGUCAAUAGAAUACUAAAAGAAAGCUGAAUUCUAAAUGAUUGUUAAAACAAAUCUUGGUCUCAGAAAAGGUAAUAAAGCAUCAGAGAGGGAGCUGACCAUAGACUUAAGAAUGCAGACUUUGCUAGAAACUGAGUCAUUUGUUUUUUAACUUCUUGUGUUUAUUUCAAGAAUUCUCAAGUUGAAGGAAGGGAAGUAGAGGAAUAUCCAGAAAUGACCUAAAAACAAAAAAGAUAAAACUUAUUUUUAAAAAAUUCUUAAAUAUUCUGCUUUUACCUGUAUAUGUGCCAUAUUUCCUCCUAUUUAUUUUUUAUUUCUAUUUUAUGUUUUUCAGUGAAGAGGCUUUUCAUUUUUAAGCAAACUAAUACAUAUACCUAUAAUUACUUCGAUUGUUUAGUAACUUAAAUGUGUAUUUUCCAUGUACACUUUAGAGAAAUUUAUUUUGUCAUUUUCUAUGUAUUUUUAUAGUCUUUCUGUCUACAUUUCAUUCUGAAUUUAAAUAUGGUAUAUUAUUGUGUGGUUUGAUCUAAAUUUUAAAUAAAAAAUACUUUAUCCUG
This is a long non-coding RNA of Antechinus flavipes (yellow-footed antechinus), 1328 nucleotides long. RefSeq lists it as uncharacterized. The record is from RefSeq and is a predicted model, not a curated record. Lineage: Eukaryota; Metazoa; Chordata; Mammalia; Dasyuromorphia; Dasyuridae. The transcript has 3 exons.